RNAcentral lists this ribosomal RNA (1016 nucleotides) under Glandirana rugosa (Japanese wrinkled frog). RNAcentral describes it as "Rugosa rugosa (Japanese wrinkled frog) partial 16S ribosomal RNA". It matches the Rfam family "Bacterial large subunit ribosomal RNA", at positions 776 to 2489 of the family's 2925-position model. The record is from RNAcentral. Lineage: Eukaryota; Metazoa; Chordata; Amphibia; Anura; Ranidae.
CAACCCGUCUCUGUUGCAAAAGAGUGGGAAGAUUUUCAAGUAGAGGUGACAAGCCUAUCGAACUUAGAGAUAGCUGGUUGUUCAGGAAAAGAGUCCAAGCUCUACCUUAAGUUUUUUCAAUUAACCUAAACAAAAUCCUAAACUUAAGAGCUAUUCAAGUAAGGCACAGCUUACUUGAAACAGGGUACAACCUCCCACAUUGGGUAAGCAAGAACAAAUUAAACAAAGUCGGCCUAAGAGCAGCCAUCUUAUAAAAAGCGUUAAAGCUUAACUUAUAUGCACUUAUAAUUCCAAUAGUUACUAUUAACCCCUCAUUACUACUGAACUAUUUUAUAACCUUAUAAAAAUUAUUAUGCUAGAACUAGUAACAUGAAUACUUUUCUCCUUAAUGUAAGCUUAAACCAUAAUGGACCAUCCACUGGUAUUUAACGUAACUGUUCUUAUUAUAGCAACAUACGUCUAGAAAACCCUAUAAUCAAUAACGUUAACCUUACACUAGAACAUUAUAGGAAAGAUUAAAAGAAAGAGAAGGAACUCGGCAAACCCCAGCCCCGCCUGUUUACCAAAAACAUCGCCUCUUGCCUAACAUAAGAGGUCCAGCCUGCCCAGUGACAUAGUUUAACGGCCGCGGUACCCUAACCGUGCGAAGGUAGCAUAAUCACUUGUUCCCUAAAUAGGGACUAGUAUCAAUGGCAUCACGAGGGCUACAAUGUCUCCUCUCUCCAAUCAGUGAAACUGAUCUCCCCGUGAAGAAGCGGGGAUUUUAAUAUAAGACGAGAAGACCCCAUGGAGCUUUAAACUUAAUAUACACCUCUACCCAUCUAUACCAAUUAACCCUAAAAGUCUGUGUGUUAGUUUUAGGUUGGGGGGACCGCGGAGUACAACUCAACCUCCACGACAAACGGGCUAACGCCCUUAUCCAUGAAACACAAUUCUAAGAAUCAACAAUCUGAUGUUUUAUGACCCGACAAGUCGAUCAACGAACCAAGUUACCCUGGGGAUAACAGCGCAAUCUA